This 521-nucleotide ribosomal RNA is filed under the name uncultured bacterium. Its description in RNAcentral is "bacterial SSU rRNA". It matches the Rfam family "Archaeal small subunit ribosomal RNA", at positions 345 to 866 of the family's 1478-position model. The record is from RNAcentral.
AACCUCCGCAAUGUGAGAAAUCGCGACGGGGGGAUCCCAAGUGCCAUUCUUAACGGGAUGGCUUUUCAUUAGUGUAAAGAGCUUUUGGAAUAAGAGCUGGGCAAGACCGGUGCCAGCCGCCGCGGUAACACCGGCAGCUCUAGUGGUAACAAUUUUUAUUGGGCCUAAAGCGUCCGUAGCCGGUUUAAUAAGUCUCUGGUGAAAUCCUGCAGCUUAACUGUGGGAAUUGCUGGAGAUACUAUUAGACUUGAGACCGGGAGAGGUUAGAGGUACUCCCAGGGUAGAGGUGAAAUUCUGUAAUCCUGGGAGGACCGCCUGUUGCGAAGGCGUCUAACUGGAACGGUUCUGACGGUGAGGGACGAAAGUUAGGGGCGCGAACCGGAUUAGAUACCCGGGUAGUCCUAACUGUAAACGAUGCGGACUUGGUGUUGGGGUGGCUUUGAGCUGCUUCAGUGCCGAAGGGAAGCUGUUAAGUCCGCCGCCUGGAAAGUACGGUCGCAAGACUGAAACUUAAAGGAAUU